Balaenoptera musculus (blue whale) is the source of this 91-nucleotide long non-coding RNA. RefSeq lists it as uncharacterized. The record is from RefSeq and is a predicted model, not a curated record. NCBI's taxonomy places the organism in Eukaryota, Metazoa, Chordata, Mammalia, Artiodactyla, Balaenopteridae. The transcript has 3 exons.
AAACAGAGAGGAACAACAAAAAACAAAUCUCAUCAUUUGGAACACUGGCACCAAUGGCGGACACUCCCAGAAAGAUCCACCUGACAGAGCA